CGGGAGUUUGUGAGUUUGAGGCCAGCUUGAGCUACAUAGUGAGUUCAAGACCAGCCUAAAAAAAAAGAGGAGCAUUAAACUGAAGACCACAGGCAGGCCUUUCUGAAUACAGGGUGCUGUGCAGCUGCAGAGUUGCAUACUCACAGGACACCCCUGCACACACAGGGUGGUCAGAGGACUAGAAGGAUGAGGCCCAUGAGCAGGCUCCUCCUUUUGCUGGGCUUCUUCACACAAGAAGAAUCCAGAAGAUGAGGAGAAAACAUGGUGCUGCUUCUGAGAAAGGGGGAUGGCCAAGGACAAAUCCUUUUAGGGUUCCUAUUGGUCCUGAUCUGUCUAGGGUUGGAUAUCGGAGGGCUUGAGAGUCAAAAAAAGAAGAGGCCUGAACACAGCCAGGAAACCAAGCACUCCAGUCGAUAGAGCCAAAGUCUCUGAAGAAGAGGCAAGGGCAGUUGGAGGGAAGAGGAGAGGAAAAACAGAAGUCGUUCUGGGCACAAGAAACUGAGCAGGUAGGAGAGGCCCUGAGGAUACUGUCAGGUGAAAGGCUGAAGACCAAGACCAGACCAGGCCACAACAAGCCUUUAUUAGGGGAAUAGAUCUGCUGGGCUGUCUCUGAACAAAGGAGAGACAAAAGCAAUACAGCCGGGGCAGGGAGAGUCUUUUAUAGAGACUGGGGUGGGGUUUGUAGGGGCUGAGGUGGGGUUGAGUGAGGUAGUGACUAGGGAAUGGAGGAGCCCAUGAUGUCACUAGAUGGUAGGAGGUGAGUGAGUAUUAGGUUACUUUCUAGGCGGGAACAGGGGCAUACUGGGAAGAAGGGUUUAUUCUUUGGUGGGAGCAACCAUCUUGGCAUGACAUCACACAGGGGAGGGGGCAAGGCACCAUAGGAAGAGGGCAGCUACUGUACAUAAUAGCUGCUGAGGUAGUGGGAGACCUAUCAGAUACCACAAGGAAAGGGCAUUGGAGAUCCCUUUUGAGUUUGCUCCUGUCCAAGACGGGAGGGGUGCAGUUCCCCAAAAGCCAGUCAGGAGCUUUGGUAGGCAUGGGUACAACCUGUUACACUCUGGGCUACCCGAUCCCACUUUUCUGUUAUCUCUGGGAUACAGGCCAGCUCCAUAUGCAAGGCCAGGCAAGACAGUUUAGUGCAAAAGACUGCCUUUGGGAGACAGAGGAAAUGCCACAAACAGGCCAGCAAGUGCCUCUCCUUACCCAGGAUGGGCAUGCCAUAAGAUAUUUGUGUUUGGAAGUCUAGGCCUCAGUUGUCACCUGUCUAUUCAGGCUCAGAGGUAAGGUGAGCCCUGGAGCAGAGACCUUCACCACCACUGCUCACCCACAUCCUAUGUUGGAAGUGAAGCUGCCCAGUGUAGCCCAUCUCUUGGGGACUUCCCGUAGCCCAAGGUAGCUCCCCAUUCUUGCCAGAAGACCUCUCGGAGGCAAUGCUCCAACCCUGG
RNAcentral lists this long non-coding RNA (1445 nucleotides) under Heterocephalus glaber (naked mole-rat). RNAcentral describes it as "lncRNA (ENSHGLG00100033484.1)". The record is from RNAcentral. Lineage: Eukaryota; Metazoa; Chordata; Mammalia; Rodentia; Bathyergidae.